GUCUUCGUGGCUCAGUUGGCUAGAGCGUUGGUCUCAUAAUAUGACCCAAUCAUACAUUGGGAUAUCCAAAGGUCGUGAGUUCGAGCCUCACCGAGGACA
RNAcentral lists this transfer RNA (99 nucleotides) under Xylaria intraflava. RNAcentral describes it as "tRNA-Met". It matches the Rfam family "tRNA". Rfam says of the family: Transfer RNA (tRNA) molecules are approximately 80 nucleotides in length. Their secondary structure includes four short double-helical elements and three loops (D, anti-codon, and T loops). Lineage: Eukaryota; Fungi; Ascomycota; Sordariomycetes; Xylariales; Xylariaceae. The record is from RNAcentral.